Molecule: small nuclear RNA, 109 nt
Organism: Ictidomys tridecemlineatus (thirteen-lined ground squirrel)
Lineage: Eukaryota; Metazoa; Chordata; Mammalia; Rodentia; Sciuridae
Gene: U5
Rfam family: U5 spliceosomal RNA
About the family: U5 RNA is a component of both types of known spliceosome.
Source: Ensembl
UCUCUGGUUUCUCUUCACUGAAUAAAUCUUUGCUUUUUACUAAAGAUUUCUGUGGAGAGGAACAACUCAGUUUCUAGCUAAUUUUUGGAGGCAUUGCUCUGGCAUGGCU